UAACCCUCUCACUUUAAUGACAGUCUCAUAAAAUUCCGUUAUAUUUACAUUGAUGGCGUUAAAUAAACAGACACAAUAAAUAAAAUAGUCAAAAUAUGGGUACAUCAGUCAUCAUCGUAUAACAAUUUUAAAAGGAACAAUUUUAAAACAGAACACAAAAACAUCUACUAUCUACGAACACAUUCAUUGAUUUGAGUGUCUGACAUCAGAAAAUUUUAUACGUCACAUAAAUUUGUCGUUCAAUGUGCAUACAAACGAUUUUAAAAUUUUACAUAGGCAAUGUUAGUCAUUCUCAAGAAGUAAAUGGAAAGGAGCGAAUGCAGCUACAUUUGGUCAUCUUAAGUUUUAAUACAUUUUAUUCCGUUUAGUUCCUUUCUUCAUAAGUGUAGAGGAGAACGGCAGUUGUCCGCAUGUAAACUUCUAGCAUUUGUCACCAAUAUGAGUACAUCGCAAUCCGUUACUGUUUCAACACCCAGGGGUGUUUCAUGUGUGUAUUCUUAAACAAUUAUUAUUUUUUCUCUCUUUUUUAGCAAUGCAUCACUCUCUACUGUCCUUAUCUAUUAUUCUAUAUUCUGCUACUCCAUCCAGAUUAUCGUGUAUACCAUGAGGGUUCGGAUUGGGGGUGUUGUUUAUUUCUGUAUUCUUUAAAUUGUUAUGUCACGUUUCUUCCGUGACGUUUUUUUCCUUUUACCUUUUAUUUAUCUUACUCAUUAUUCUUUCUCUAUUCUUUAUAUUUUAGCAUCCCAAUAUAUUUUACUUACUGAUGUUUAGUUACAUUACGACGUUUAUCUCUGAUUUAUAUACUGGUUACCAAUGUAGAUGACAAGUUGGUGUCAUGCAUGACAAUUAAACAGAAUCCACAUGACAUAUGCGACCAUUCUUGGAUGAAAUUAACAUUACUUUAAUAUUACACUUUUUGAAACCGUUUUUAUCAAUUUUCUAUUUCCAUUGUUUAAAUUGUUCAUUGUUCACAGUGGCGGAUCCAGCCAUUUUAAAAAUGGG
RNAcentral lists this long non-coding RNA (1002 nucleotides) under Mytilus galloprovincialis (Mediterranean mussel). The record is from RNAcentral. Lineage: Eukaryota; Metazoa; Mollusca; Bivalvia; Mytilida; Mytilidae.